UGAGGAAUAUUGGUCAAUGGGCGAGAGCCUGAACCAGCCAAGUAGCGUGCAGGAUGACGGCCCUAUGGGUUGUAAACUGCUUUUGUAUGGGGAUAAAGUCAAUCACGUGUGAUUGUUUGCAGGUACCAUACGAAUAAGGACCGGCUAAUUCCGUGCCAGCAGCCGCGGUAAUACGGAAGGUCCGGGCGUUAUCCGGAUUUAUUGGGUUUAAAGGGAGCGUAGGCUGGAGAUUAAGUGUGUUGUGAAAUGUAGACGCUCAACGUCUGACUUGCAGCGCAUACUGGUUUCCUUGAGUACGCACAACGUUGGCGGAAUUCGUCGUGUAGCGGUGAAAUGCUUAGAUAUGACGAAGAACUCCGAUUGCGAAGGCAGCUGACGGGAGCGCAACUGACGCUGAAGCUCGAAGGUGCGGGUAUCGAACAGGAUUAGAUACCCUGGUAGUCCGCACAGUAAACGAUGGAUGCCCGCUGUUGGUACGUGGUAUCAGCGGCUAAGCGAGAGCAUUAAGCAUCCCACCUGGGGAGUACGCCGGCAACGGUG
RNAcentral lists this ribosomal RNA (540 nucleotides) under uncultured bacterium. RNAcentral's name for it is "bacterial SSU rRNA". It matches the Rfam family "Bacterial small subunit ribosomal RNA", at positions 355 to 896 of the family's 1533-position model. The record is from RNAcentral.